UGGCCGAGUUGGUCUAAGGCGUCGGUCUCAAGAUCCGAUCUCGAAAGAGGCGUGAGUUCGAAUCUC
Quaeritorhiza haematococci is the source of this 66-nucleotide non-coding RNA. The record is from the annotation of a GenBank genome assembly. NCBI's taxonomy places the organism in Eukaryota, Fungi, Chytridiomycota, Chytridiomycetes, Quaeritorhizaceae.